GUGCAUAAUGUAAAGCAUCACGCAAAGCUGUCUUCGUUUGUGAGCUGCAGUGGCUGCCAUUCAGACCAGUUAUUACUGGGUGAAAGUUACACAUAAUUCAAGAUGGAGCCAGGGCUCCAUCUCCAGUCUGAUCUUCCCAUUCCACCAGCAGCUCCGAGGACGUGUUUAUAGGGACCCUGAGAAUUCUCUGCAUGCCGUUUCCAACACUCGGCUCCAGGAGCAAGGAAAUCCGUGUGACUUCAGGAUUCGGUGGCAAACUCAACCUGCUUUCUCACACUAUCAGUGCCUGAAGUUCCACUUCAAGCUUUUCUUUCACUUCUGUGACCAAACAGGGGCAAUGCCUUUUGACAUCUUAGAGUGGAGAAAGGAGAUGGAGGCACAGAUGAGGUGACAGAGCCCUGCCAGAGUGACCAGAGCCACCAGAGGCCGGG
This is a long non-coding RNA of Heterocephalus glaber (naked mole-rat), 431 nucleotides long. Lineage: Eukaryota; Metazoa; Chordata; Mammalia; Rodentia; Bathyergidae. The record is from Ensembl.